CAGCAAACUUGUGUCAUACUAAAGUUCUUGCGUGCGUACAAAUAACUAUACGGUAAUUUGCAAACAAUGGCGAACAUAGGCACACUGUUCGUAAUCGGGUAUUUUGCAAGAUUUUGUAGCAGUGAGACUGGCCCGUUUGUGUCCUUAAAACAAGGUGACCUUUUAGGAAGAUAUUUUACAACAAGAAAAGGAAUAACUGUGAGUGGCUUUAGUGGAACCAAACCACCCAUUGGAGAACUUCGAUUAAAGACUUCAGUUCCAUUGGAGCAGUGGAGUGGUACCUUAAACGCUACGCAACCCCACGCGAUUUGUCCCCAGGUAAACUACCGGAAGAUAAAUGGAAUAACUUAAGUUACCCUGUCCUCUUCUACAUACAUGGGGGAGCAUUCUCAGUUGGUAGUGCUAGGUAUGAUUGGUUGGAACCUGAGUUGCUUUUGGACAAAGAUCUUGUUUUAGUCACUAUCCACUACAGAUUAGGGGCUCUAGGAUUUCUAUCUACUGGAGAUGCCAGUAUACCCGCAAAUAACGGCCUAAAAGAUCAAGUGUUAGCCUUGCGAUGGGUUAAAGACAACAUAGCGAGAUUCGGCGGAGAUCCUCAGAAAGUUACGAUUUGUGGAAAUUCAGCUGGGGCACAUAGUGUUCACUUACUGACGCUUUCGCCUAUGGCAAAAGGUAGUAUUAACGUUGAAAUCAGGUUUAACGGUCUUUCAGGUCUUAUAACCAGUGCUAUCAUUCAGAGUGGGUUUGCAAUACCCCAAAUCGCUGUCAUAUCACGAAACGAAUCCAUUAUGUAUGCCCAGCGGUUUGGUCAAAAAUUGAACUGUUCAUCAGGUACGAGUACGAGCUAAAGUGUCUUCAAGACAAAGACUUGUAUAAUAUUGUCAAACAACAGCUAACAUUUUCGACUUGGGAUCCUGCUAAAUUUGGCAAAUAGGCUGCGCAAGUUCUACUUUGGAAACCAAACGAUUGGCGUUAGAACUAGACCUGAGAUCAGUCAGUAGUUUAGUCCUUGGUAUGCAGCAUUUCUGAUAUUUUUCUCAGUUGUACACAGAUGGGUGGUUCCUAUCAGGAGCCGACUGCUUGGUGCAAAACCAUUUAGCACACAGAAAGCAGCCCAUAUACUUCUACUACUUUGACUACAUGGGGUCGAAAAGUUACGCAUCUCUGUAUAAUGAUCCCAGCUUUAUUUCUGGGGCAAGCCAUACAGAUGAAUUGUUUUAUUUGCUGUCUCGAAAUGUGCUUUUCCGGGCUACAAUCCUACGUCAUUCGACGAUGAAAUGACCGAAACAAUGACAAGUUUGUGGUACAACUUUGUUCAAUAUGGGUAUGGCGGAAGAGAACGUCACAUGGUCUUACCUCCAUUUUAGGAACCCAACACCAGUGAAUGAAUCAGAUAUGCCACCUUGGCAGCGGGUUAUCAGCGACAAUUUGGCAUAUUAUCAAAUAAGGGGGCCACGCAAGAUAGGCAUGAACAGCUGUCUACUCUCAAGUAGAAGAUAUUUCUGGAGGAACAUGAAAAUUGAUGUACGAGUAGAUAAGUUCGAUCCAUGAUCCUGCGUUUUAAG
Photinus pyralis (common eastern firefly) is the source of this 1565-nucleotide RNA transcript. It is a transcript of the gene named bile salt-activated lipase-like, with no coding region annotated. The transcript is spliced from 5 exons. The record is from RefSeq and is a predicted model, not a curated record. Lineage: Eukaryota; Metazoa; Arthropoda; Insecta; Coleoptera; Lampyridae.